GAUGAACGCUGGCGGCGUGCCUAAUACAUGCAAGUCGAGCGAACGGACGAGAAGCUUGCUUCUCUGAUGUUAGCGGCGGACGGGUGAGUAACACGUGGAUAACCUACCUAUAAGACUGGGAUAACUUCGGGAAACCGUAGCUAAUACCGGAUAAUAUUUUGAACCGCAUGGUUCAAAAGUGAAAGACGGUCUUGCUGUCACUUAUAGAUGGAUCCGCGCUGCAUUAGCUAGUUGGUAAGGUAACGGCUUACCAAGGCAACGAUGCAUAGCCGACCUGAGAGGGUGAUAGGCAACAAUGGAACUGAGACACGGUCCAGACUCCUACGGGAGGCAGCAGUAGGGAAACUUCCGCAAUGGGCGAAAGCCUGACGGAGCAACGCCGCGUGAGUGAUGAAGGUCUUCGGAUCGUAAAACUCUGUUAUUAGGGAAGAACAUAUGUGUAAGUAACUGUGCACAUCUUGACGGUACCUAAUCAGAAAGCCACGGCUAACUACGUG
This 497-nucleotide ribosomal RNA is filed under the name uncultured bacterium. Its description in RNAcentral is "partial 16S ribosomal RNA". It matches the Rfam family "Bacterial small subunit ribosomal RNA", at positions 28 to 507 of the family's 1533-position model. The record is from RNAcentral.